RNAcentral lists this ribosomal RNA (289 nucleotides) under Eucyclops sp. SW-2015. RNAcentral's name for it is "partial 18S ribosomal RNA". It matches the Rfam family "Eukaryotic small subunit ribosomal RNA", at positions 39 to 329 of the family's 1831-position model. The record is from RNAcentral. Lineage: Eukaryota; Metazoa; Arthropoda; Copepoda; Cyclopoida; Cyclopidae.
AAAGAUUAAGCCAUGCAUGUCUAAGUACAAUCCUCUUGAGGGAGAAACUGCGAAAGGCUCAUUAAAUCACAUCUAAUGUACUGGAUAGUUACAGUUACUUGGAUAACUGCGGUAAUUCUGGAGCUAAUACAUGCAAACCAGCCCCGACUCACGGAGGGGUGCUUUUAUUAGACUAAAACCAAACGGCUUCGGUCGUCCCACUGGUGAAUCUGAAUAACUUUGAGCGGAUCGCAUGGCUUCACGCCGGCGACGUAUCCUUCCAAGGUGUGACCUAUCAACUGUCGACUGU